RNAcentral lists this transfer RNA (84 nucleotides) under Periweissella beninensis. Its description in RNAcentral is "tRNA-Leu". It matches the Rfam family "tRNA". Rfam says of the family: Transfer RNA (tRNA) molecules are approximately 80 nucleotides in length. Their secondary structure includes four short double-helical elements and three loops (D, anti-codon, and T loops). The record is from RNAcentral. Lineage: Bacteria; Bacillati; Bacillota; Bacilli; Lactobacillales; Lactobacillaceae.
GCCUACAUGGCGGAAUUGGCAGACGCGCUACGUUCAGGUCGUAGUGAGAGUGAUCUCGUGCAGGUUCAAGUCCUGUUGUAGGCA